AUUAAUGAUUUAAUAAUAAUAGUUGAUUUAUAAAGUAUGAUUGUAAGAUAGAUUAUAUUACCUGGUGCGUUGUAAUUCUAAUAAUACCAUAUGGUAUGUUACAUAGAGUCGUAAAGUUCAACUAGGAAAAGUCCUCAAAAUCAGUCUUAUUUGAUAUUUUAUGAGCACUUAUAUUUGAAUCGAAGAAAAAAGGUAAAAUAAUAGAUCAUGUUAAAUUACAUAUUGUUGGGUAUAAAUACUAAAGUUAUUAGUGUCAAUGUGAAAGUGUACACAACAAGUAAUAUAAUUAUCAGACUUGCUACAACAAUCUUAACAGUGCAGAUUUUGUUCUUAUUUAAAAUAAACAAUUAAUGAAACUAAUAUACUAAUUAAAAUGAAAACGCAAUAAAUAAAAUGCAACAAAGAAAAUUAUCACGCUAACACAAGGAUAAUACCAAUAGGAAUAUAGAGUAGUUAAGUGAAUAAACUCUCUUAAUGAUAUUGACUAUUUUUUUAAUGUUUGGCUCGGUUGCUGCAACAUCUGUUACAGCACUGGGCAGAAUCCUUAUGCAUCUUCAGCCGUCGCAUGUUGGAUAUCUUAUAUCUAUAUGCAACCUAACAGUGAUCAGUUGUUAUGCCAACAUAAGAUAUAACAUUACAUGUUUAGGUUCUAUUUACCCUACAAGGUGAAUUCCUCUAUGUCUAGUUCAUCACUAAUUUUAGAUUAAGCAUAACCCUUUUGGGAUAAGUUAAACUCAAUCUAAAACCAAGUAUUGCUUUGAUAUGUUUCACUAAGAUAGGCUAUUUUGCGGCUCUCUCCUAACUUAUAUCAUUAAAUGGGUGAUCAACCGAAAUAAUGAAUAAAAAUAAAUACUAUCAAAACAAACUAUUACAGCAAACAUGCAACAACACAUAUAUUCAGUCAAUAAACCAUCAAGAUUGUUUGUCACUCAACCACAAAUAAAUUUAGUUCAUGGUUUGUAAAAGAAAAAUAAAGAACAAAGUUUCAGCCAUGAAACACAUUCCCAUGAAUAAAUAGAAAACACAAAACCAAGAGAAGGAUAAGAAUGAUUGAACUCCCAAUUGAUCUCUGCAAUUUUUCCUCUUGUGCAACCCUUAAUCUCUCUCUUGAAUCUUGUUUUUCUUUUGUUUCUUUGUGACAAGAUAUGUUUGAAUUCCAUGAGGAACAAUGCUAUCGUAGUGCUAGUUUCUUUCCUUGUAUAUUUUAAAUAGGGUAAUUUUCACUUCCUCCCCUAAGCUUUGGGCUUUUUGCACUUAGUUGGCAAAGAUCUAUUUAUUAGUGAAAACCCCUUGCAAAAUGCAAUCGGUAGUUCUCUGUUAGUCAGUUAUGGGCAAUUUGAUAAUCUAAUUUGACAAGCAAAAGUUUUGCACAUUUCGGUCGACAUGAGUACAAUGAAUUAUCAAGUCAUUCUAAAAAAUCGUGUCUUAUGAUAUAAAUAAAAAGUUGUAAAAAGAAUUCAAAUUUUAAAUCUUUAUCUCUUUGCUCUCAAAUUGAAUUUUUCUCUUUCAUGAAGCUUUGAGAGCUCUGUAUUAGAAGGCUAAAAGUUCUUCAUUGCUAGCAAAGUAGUAUCCAUUGCUUGUGUGAAGUGAAAAAGAAACACUAGACCUGCAUCGUGUAUCGUUCUGAAUUUCACUGACACGCCAAAGACUUGAAUUGCUAUGUUGAAGCCGAUAAUAGAUUAGUUUCGAACAAAGCUUUUUUUUUUUGGGUUCGUUUAGAGUGUAUUGAUACUACUGUGAGUUGUUUGUAAAUGUCGAGUGGGUGCUUGAUUUGUUCAUUGAGACAACUUCGAUAAGCUUUAUGGAAUUGUGAAGCAUAAAAUCGAGAAAAAAAUUUUCAAGAUAAAAUAUGUCCUAUUUUGGGUAUUUGCAAGCAUAUGGUUUCGUCUUAUGUUGUGGUAGAUUAUGCAUUUGAUUUAUGCGAUGUGAUACUCAUGUACUUUUCUAAGUUCAUUUGUGUAGGCCUCAAAUAUAUAUGAAAGUAUAAAUAAAAUUUUUUAAGUUUUAAUGAAGGUUAUACCGAGCUAAAAAAUUGAAGUUUAAAGCACUUAAUAAUCAUUGUUUCUAAUUACAUAGCGUGUGAUAUGCCUCAAUAUUGUUAAAUUAGAUAAUUUAUAAAAUGUUUGACAACUUGAGAUGUUAUCAUGUAGAAUGAUUGAUAAUUCUAUGAAAUGAGAGUUAUCAUGACACUUUUAGAUUUAAAUCAAGAUUACUUAGAGAGUAAAUGAUAUGUUUUUAUUCUAUUUUAGUUAUAUUUGCAUGAACAUCCAUUUUAGUUGAUUUUUAAUAAAUUUAGUUUGUUUUAGAUUAAUUUGUGCUUAGAUCAUAUAUAUAAUUAUAAGUGACCGGAAGCUUAAAUUUUAUGUAACAUGCAGUAACCGUUGCUGUAGCACCAUUGCUGUAGCAAUCCUGGAGUAUUGACAGAGAAGAUUUCGUGCGAGAUACCUAGAAGAUCGCGAUAUGGAGUUUCCAAAACUGGAUGAUGCGUGCCCUAGACUUCCGGUUGCUCUAAUUUUAAGCUAUAAAAGGAGCACACACGCAAAGAAAAAGGGAGAGCUGUUACCCAAAGAAUAAACGGCAGAGAAAAAAAAAGAAAAACGAAAAUCAAGAGAGAGAUUGAAGGUUAAUAGAGAAGAAAUCGCAGAGAUCAAACGGCAAUCAAUAUUUCUUCUUAUUUUCUUGUUUUUUACUUAUCUAUGGGGAUGUAUUUGAUGGCUAAAACUCUUUUAUUUAUUUUUCUAUCGCAAAUUAUGAACUAAAUUUGAUUGUAGUUGAGUAAUAAAUGAACUUAAUGGAUAUUUGACUAAUAUACGCGCAAUGUUAUGUAUUUUUAUAACAUUUUUUCUUAAUUGUAUUUAUUUUAAUUCUCUAUUUCGGCUGACUAUCCAUUUAAGGACACUAGCUAAGAAAGAGCCUAAAAGAAGUCUGACUUAGUGGAUCUCAUUAAGAUAAAACUUGGUUUUAGAUUAAGUUUUUUAAGUUGAUUAAUCUCAAUUUGAAUAGGGUCAUACUUGAUUUAAAAUUAGUGAUGACCUAGAUAUAUGGAUUCACCUUGUAGGGUAAAUGGAACUUAGGUCGUUUAAUGCUAUUUUAAUAUUGACGUAACAAUUGGUUACUGUUAAGUUGCAUUAGAUAUAAGAUAUCCAACAGGCGACAGUUAAGGAUGCAUGAAGGAUUCUGCCCAGUGUUGUAGUAGAUGUUGUAGUAACGGUACUGUAAUUGAAAAAUAGUCAAUGCCAUUAAGUAAGUUUAUUCACUCAACUACUCAAUUCCCAUUAAUUUUAUCCUUGUGUUUGACGUGAGAAUUUUCUUUGUUGCAUUUUUAUUUUAAUUAGUUUAUUAGUUUUAUUAGUUGCUUUAUUUUCAAUUAAAAUAAAAUUGUACUGUUAAGGUUAUUGUAGCAAAUUUGAUAAUAUUAAUCCUUGUGGAGACGAUCUGAAUACUUAUCAGUAUAUUAUUUGUCGUAUACACUUGUACAUUGACACCUAUAGCAUUAGAGAUUGUACACAUCACUGGUUAUAAUCUCUAAGUUAGUUAGAUGCUAUUGAAUUUGUUAGUUUUGUUAUGUAUUAAAUUUGUUGGCAUCCAAUAAAUGGUAUGUUGUAUUUUUAUGUUACUGCCAGACACCUACACUUUGCAUUUACUAUUUAAUACAUUUUAGCUUUUUCUUGAACAUUAAUAGUAUUUAUUUAUGUUGUUUUAUUACAUUGCAGUAUUGUGCAUUAUGACGUUAAAGUAGUAGUUGAUGGCAAAGUGACUGAGAUUAGUUUCAUUAUUCCUGAGCACUAUUCACUAGUCAAGCUUUGGGCUAACAUUAGGAACAUUCGUUGGGAUGAGCCCAUCAGACAUGCUACUGGAACUAGAGCUCAGUUGUUGUUGCCUUGGGCAUCUGAUGGCAGAGAAUUGUUUAGUGAUAGCGAUAUGCAGCAACGGGUCAAAGAAUUGAAGGAGAAGAGAUAUAGAUGGGCAAGACUCAAAAUGACAGCUUAUAUGAGGUAGGAACCUACAAUAAUACCUUUAAAUAAACAAAAUAAAAGCUGAUCCUGAGAUUAAUUGGGAUGAACUAGAUGAUGUUCAAGAAAUUAACAACAAUGAGAGUACUGUGACACAAUUCAGCCUUUAUAGUAGUUAUUUACUUGAAGAUGACAUGACCGUUCACCGUAGCUCUAAGAAUUCUAGAAAAAGUGGUGCAUGUUCAAUUGAAGUAGUUUAUACUUUUAAAUCAACUUCAAGUGAUGAAAUAGAGCAGUAUAUUGUUGAACUUAAAGAUGCCGAUGUGCCUAUUCUUAGGGAUGACGAGAAUCUAAGAUCAAAUGGUGAAGAAAGUGACCAUAGUCUUAAUGAUUAUUAGUUAGAUGAUGAGACAGAUGAUGAAUUUGAUUUUUCUGAUGAGGAAGUUGCUGCUUAUGUGAGGUAUGACACCAAUUCAAGUGGAUUUGAGUUCACACCAAAUGGAGAUAACAUUGUUCUAAGGCUUGGUCAGUUGUCUGUAGAUGUAAAAAGGUGUUGAUGGUAUAUGCUAUAAGAAAUGGGUUCAGAGUGACAAUUAGAUGUGCUAAAUCAAGAUGUAUCAUGGAGAAUUCAUGUUAGUCCAAAUUGGAACAAUAAGUCAUUCCAAAUUAAGGUUCUAUGCGAUGUUUAUACAUGUGGUGGGAUUGAUCAUGACAAUAAAAAAAGCUACUUCAACCUGGAUUGCAACCACUUAUCUCCAUAUCUUUAACUAAACUCUUGAAGUUAGUGUUAACUUGAUAGCAGUUGAUCUCUUGAAAACUUGUGGCAUUGAGUGCAGUGUUCAUAGGUUAUAUAGAGCAAAACAAAAAGCAUUAGAACUACUUGACCAAGAUAACAAGAAAAGUUACAACAAACUGAGUAGGUACCAAUAGGCUUUGAUGAAGUAUAACUCUAGAUCUAUAGUAGCUAUUGAGAGGGAAUUGAAUGGAGAUACAUCAUUUAGUAUUCAAAAGAUUUUUCAUGAUGUUUGAUACAAUCUGGAGGGUUUUUUCUUUAAGGCAAUAGACAAUUGAUAAGGGUUAAUGGCUGCCAUCUAAAAGGGCCAUAUAAAGGAGUUUUAUUGAUUGCAGUUGGCAUUAAUGCUAACUAUAGGAUACAUCCACUAGCAUAAUGUAUAGAGAGUGAAAACAUUCACUCUUUAGAGUUCUUCAAUGGAAAAGUUAAAUAACCAGAUUGGUUGUAAUAGUAGAGAAGGCCUAUGUUUCAUGAGUGAUCGACAAAAAAGAAUGUUCAAUGCAAUUGAUAGAGUGUUUCCUAAUACAACUAAUAAAUACUGUUGUGGGCAUAUUUCGGCCAAUUUGAAGCAAAAUUUUCCUGACAUUUUGUAGAAAAAGUCUUUUAGAGGGUAUGUAGAAGUCUAAACUACUCAUAAUUUAGUGAAAGCAUUAAGAAAUGGAAUAAAAUUAGUGAUGCAACUCAUUAGUGGCUCAUGAACAUUCCAUAUGCUUACUGGUCAAACACACUUUCCCUAAGCACACCAAGUGCAAUCACGUGACUAAUAACAUGACUGAAUCGCUCAACAACUAGAUCAACAAUUUUAGAGACAUGCCUAUUGUCAAGAUGCUUGAAGAGAUAAGGAGAACGAUCAUGAAACUUAUUCAUAAAAGGAUUGAGGUUGCCAAGAAGUAGAAUGAACAUCUACUACUUCUUGAUAUGAGGAAGAUUGUGGAAACAAGAACUAAAUCAAAAGGUUUGACAAUGAUAUUUGAUCAUGAAAACACCUUUGAAGUGAUGGAAAAUUUCUCCAAAGUGUUUGCGAUAGAUUUAGGUAAAAGACUUGUGAUUGUAGGGAAUGGUGGAUAUUUGUCUUACCUUGCAAGCAUUAGGGGUGUUCGUGGAUUGGAUUUUGCGGAUUGAACAUCAAUCCAUAUCCGAUCCAUGAUUUUGCGAAUUAUAAAUUUUUAAUCCAAUCCAAUUCACGGAUUGAUGAAAUUCAAUAUAAAUUCAAUCCAUACGUUUACGGAUCGGAUGUGAAAUGCGAAUUUGACCCAAUUCACAUCCAAUCCACCAUUUUGCGAAUUAGUUUGAUGGCUAAAAAAAUUUAAUUCUAUCAUAUCCAUGAACUAACUAAAUAAAAAAUUAAUAUAAAAAUGAUUUUCCUAUUGAUUAAAUUCAAGAUUAAAUAAGGUUUAAAUAAAUUAAUUGUUUAAAUAAAGCUAGAAAAUACAUUCAAAGAUUCAAAAUAUAACACACCAAAAAGAAAAAAAUCUCAUUUGUUUAAAUCAGUACAUGAAAAUUAACUACUUAGGAAGUUAUGUUUGUAUAUUUAAUUAUUUUUAUUUUAUA
This 6297-nucleotide long non-coding RNA is filed under the name Citrus x clementina. RNAcentral's name for it is "Citrus clementina (C. clementina) long non-coding RNA (CCLE_LNC003523)". Lineage: Eukaryota; Viridiplantae; Streptophyta; Magnoliopsida; Sapindales; Rutaceae. The record is from RNAcentral.